GACGAACGCUGGCGGCGUGCUUAACACAUGCAAGUCGAACGGAAAGGCCCUGCUCUUGCUGGGUGCUCGAGUGGCGAACGGGUGAGUAACACGUGAGUAACCUGCCCUUGACUUUGGGAUAAAUUCAGGAAACUGGGGCUAAUACCGGAUAGGAGCUCCUGCUGCAUGGUGGGGGUUGGAAAGUUUCGGCGGUUGGGGAUGGACUCGCGGCUUAUCAGCUUGUUGGUGGAGUAGUGGCGUACCAAGGCUUUGACGGGUAGGCGGCAUGGGAGGGUGAACGGCGACAUUGCGACUGAGAUAGGGAGCAGACUGCUACGGGAGGCAGUAGUGGGGAAUAUUGCACAGUGGGCGGGCGCCAGAUGCAAAAGCGCUGCGAGCGGGAUGCUGUGCUUCGGGUUAUAAACCGCUUUCGCCUGUGACGAAGAGUGCGUGACGGUAAUGGGUCAAGAAGCACCGGCUAACUACGUG
Molecule: ribosomal RNA, 468 nt
Filed under: uncultured bacterium
Lineage: Bacteria
Description: partial 16S ribosomal RNA
Rfam family: Bacterial small subunit ribosomal RNA
Source: RNAcentral